RNAcentral lists this small RNA (578 nucleotides) under Arabidopsis thaliana (thale cress). RNAcentral describes it as "ATSL201920". The record is from RNAcentral. Lineage: Eukaryota; Viridiplantae; Streptophyta; Magnoliopsida; Brassicales; Brassicaceae.
UGAAAUGAGUGUCCAAGUUGAUAGUUCUAAGCUGCGAUACGAUGGAAUUCUACUCAAAAACGUUAGUCAAGCCUUGUUAUCAAUCAAUCCGACUCUUAUGCUCAACCUACACAUGUUUUCAAAUCUACCAAUCCCUUUACCAUUCAUUAGUUCUGGAACGUUAAUCAAGCAAUGCAUCAUCAAUGAACUCAUUUGGCUUAAGGUACAGGUCAAGAGACAAAGAUGGUCCCUUACAGAAUAGGCUUUAGUAACAGGGGAUCUCUCAAAAAAUGAUUAAGCUUUAGUAGAAUGCUAAGGUAAGUCCCAAGCUAUGCAUACAGAGAUAAGAUCCCAUCUACUUGACCAGGGGGUCAAGUGGUUUGUUGAAGUCGUGGAAUUAUCUACUCAACCAGGGGGUCGAGUGUUUUGCAGUGAUCAACUCCGCUUCUUUCAAGUAGCUCGCCAAUAGCUCCGAAUCACCUGAAAACAACACAAAUAUGCAACAUGCAUGCAAAAUUAUCCUAAACAUGCAAAGUGAUGACAAAUGAUAUAAAACAGUGAUGAUAUGAUGCUAAAGUGAUGACAAAUGAAUGCUCAAA